GUGCCAGCCGCCGCGGUAAUACGGAGGGUGCGAGCGUUAAUCGGAAUUACUGGGCGUAAAGCGCGCGUAUGUGGUCUGAUAAGUCGGAUGUGAAAGCCCCGAGCUUAACUUGGGAACGGCAUUCGAUACUGUCUGACUAGAGUAUGGUAGAGGAAAGCGGAAUUCCCGGUGUAGCGGUGAAAUGCGUAGAUAUCGGGAGGAACAUCAGUGGCGAAGGCGGCUUUCUGGACUAAUACUGACACUGAGGCGCGAAAGCGUGGGUAGCAAACAGGAUUAGAAACCCCUGUAGUCC
Molecule: ribosomal RNA, 292 nt
Filed under: uncultured bacterium
Lineage: Bacteria
Description: partial 16S ribosomal RNA
Rfam family: Bacterial small subunit ribosomal RNA
Source: RNAcentral